RNAcentral lists this ribosomal RNA (250 nucleotides) under uncultured bacterium. RNAcentral describes it as "partial 16S ribosomal RNA". It matches the Rfam family "Bacterial small subunit ribosomal RNA", at positions 524 to 776 of the family's 1533-position model. The record is from RNAcentral.
UACGUAGGGGCAAGCGUUGUCCGGAAUCAUUGGCGUAAAGAGCGUGUAGGCGGCUCGAUAAGUCCGCUCUGAAAGCCCGGGGCUCAACCCGGGAGGCGGCGGAUGACUGUCGAGCUAGAGUCCGGAAGAGGCGAGUGGAAUUCCUGGUGUAGCGGUGAAAUGCGCAGAUAUCAGGAGGAACACCAAUGGCGAAGGCAGCUCGCUGGGACGGUACUGACGCUGAGACGCGAAAGCGUGGGGAGCAAACAGG